Rosa rugosa (rugosa rose) is the source of this 1083-nucleotide RNA transcript. It is a transcript of the gene named probable mediator of RNA polymerase II transcription subunit 19b, with no coding region annotated. The record is from RefSeq and is a predicted model, not a curated record. NCBI's taxonomy places the organism in Eukaryota, Viridiplantae, Streptophyta, Magnoliopsida, Rosales, Rosaceae. The transcript has 7 exons.
AACUUCAACUCAAAACCUAAAUUAUCGAUUAUCAGCGAUCAGCCCCCAACCGCCGAUCUCCAACAUCCAAUACGGCGUGUCGUUUUUCAGAUGGAUCUUGACGCGAAAAGGUUUGGAAGAGGGCCUCGGGAACUUGGUGGUGCUGCCAAUCUCAUAAAUCAGUAUAAGCUUUGGCCUUAUCAUGAAUUCUUUUGCAAAAGGUCGCUUCCUUUAUCAGAGACUCAUUAUCUUCAUAAUGUGGUGGGAGACACAGAGAUCAGGAAAGGGGAGGGGAUGAAAUUGGAUCAGCUAUUUGAGAACACCCCUUAUAUGAGAGAAAGGAAUGCAAACAUACAUCCUUUCGAUUUGGGUAUGCUUAGUGAAGCUUUCCGAAUAAAGGAGACAACUCCUGUUCAUUUACCUUCCGCCGAGAAAGGGAUCCGUACCUCAGUGGUGAAGUCAAAGGGUGAGUUAGAAGACAAGGAAAGGAAGCAUAAAAAGAACAAAGACAAGGAUAAGGAUCGUAAGAAGCACAAAAAACAUCGCAAGGACAACCGCGGUGAUGCUGAUUACAGCAAUAAGAAUGUUACUAAUGGCUUGAAAACUGUGCAGUUGAAGGAACAGCCAGAUAUGUUCAUUCAGAAGAGGAGGCUCAAUGGUUAUGAAGAUCUUUCUGUCCGUGAAAAUAAAAGAGUGAGAAUCCAAAGAUAACUGAGAAUGGCAAGCUAAAGGUGACUCCUUGACGGGUUGAAAACACAUUGCUUAGAUUUGUCUGGAUUUUACGACAUGCUCAAAAUUUUUCAGUCAACAACUACUCUGGAUGUUGACGUCUAGGAUGAGUCCACCGUAUAUUAGUUGGAGCAUUGAAGGAGGCAUUGGUCAGAGCUGUUUUCUCCCCAUCUUGCUUUGUUUAUUUGAAUUUUGAAAUCUGGAUUUGGAUGGCAAUGUGGACAUGGAAUCAAUUCCAGAUUUAUGGAAAUAUUGAUAGCCAUGUUGAUCACAAACUACAAAACCAGCUGCAGAUGAGAUAUCUUGUCUGACUAUUGAAAUUGAGUUUGAUAUGAGGAGAAUCCAGCGGUUUCUGCUUGAUAAUUUUACCAUGUC